CAAUAGCGUAUAUUUAAGUUGUUGCAGUUAAAAAGCUCGUAGUUGGAUUUCGGAUGGGAUUUGCCGGUCCGUCGUUACGAUGUGCACUGGCCAGUCCUAUCUUGUUGUCGGGGACUAGCUCCUUGGAUUCACUUCCUGGGACUAGGAGCUGACGAGGUUACUUUGAGUAAAUUAGAGUGUUCAAAGCAAGCCUACGCUCUGAAUACAUUAGCAUGGAAUAACACGAUAGGACUCUGGCUUAUCUUGUUGGUCUGUGAGACCAGAGUAAUGAUUAAGAGGGACAGUCGGGGACAUUCGUAUUUCAUUGUCAGAGGUUAAAUUCUUGGAUUUAUGAAAGACGAACUUCUGCGAAAGCAUUUGUCAAGGAUGUUUUCAUUAA
Molecule: ribosomal RNA, 379 nt
Filed under: uncultured eukaryote
Lineage: Eukaryota
Description: partial 18S ribosomal RNA
Rfam family: Eukaryotic small subunit ribosomal RNA
Source: RNAcentral